This is a long non-coding RNA of Micropterus dolomieu (smallmouth bass), 1811 nucleotides long. RefSeq lists it as uncharacterized. NCBI's taxonomy places the organism in Eukaryota, Metazoa, Chordata, Actinopteri, Centrarchiformes, Centrarchidae. The transcript is spliced from 3 exons. The record is from RefSeq and is a predicted model, not a curated record.
UCUAACCAGCAUCCCUUAUUUUAAGUCCCCCCCCCCCCCCCAAAAAAAAGCCAGCAUGCAUCACGAUACGCAUCAAGUCAAACGAACCUUUUGAAAAGUGGUCAAAUCACAGGUGGGUCUGCGUGACGUCACAUCAGCGCCACCUGCUGGGCAGAAAACGCACAACUCUGGUCAACCAAACGGAACCAAAACCUUUGCAGAGAACUUCAGGCUUGUAGGUAUUUGGAGAAAGAAAUAUCCUAACAGCAGCUGACAGACUUGGAGUAAUGAAACAGGCUCUGGUCAGUCAAGGAUCUUUGGUUUGUGUCCGAGAACGUUAAUAAAGAUCUUACUGAUGUGGAAAUACGACCCACUCCUCUUACGGAUCACCAGGAUACACGUGAAGUGUCGCUGCUCAGUCAGAGCUGGAAACUCAAGAGCUCUGACGAAGCAGCAGCAUAAUGAAAACAGCAGCAGGCUGCAGGAUGACAGAAGUGUGGCAGAAGUCAGCAGACAGAGAGCGACGGACGUGACAUGACGGAGGACCCUCGGACCGAAGGAAGAGAAAUCAUCAGGAACGACACGGCUGCACCACGAAGCAGGAUCUGGGCUUAUCCAGGUAACUUCAGGGUUAACCCUGCUGGGUUUUCAGCACCACGACGGUGGUUCACUUCUUACCGGGUGUGAUGGCCCGGCUCAGAGGCCGCAGCAAACAGAGGAAACCACGCCAUGAACUUAACAAAGGGACAGGAGUGAAUGGCAUCUUGGUGAUAUCAGCCUCCUCCAGCCCUGGAAGCUGCUCUCCCUCCUGACUGGUCCAGAGUUCCUCCUGUUCCUCUUUAACGUGUGGAGGCUCUGGGUUCUUCUGGUCCAGACUGGGGCUCCACUUCUCUUUAAUGUGUGGGGGCUCUGGGUCCUCCUGGUCCAGACUGGGGCUCCACUUCUCUUUAACGUGUGGGGGCUCUGGGUCCUCCUGGUCCAGACUGGGGCUCCCCUCCUGCUCCUCAGGGGGAACCUCUUGUUUGCUUCCAAACAGCUGUUGGACAUCUACAGAGAACAGUAAACAAAUGAAAUUAAAUCUAUUUUCUCUGUGCUGAUAACCCCUCCUAAAGGAAAAACAGAACCACCAGAUUCCUAGAACCCCCUCAGUGAGCCCAAUCACCACCUAAAUAGCCCAGUGAAAGUGUUUUGGGUUUAAACUACUGGAUGUAUAUAAAGAAUAUCAUCAAAUCCGAAUUAGAGCUAAAAUGAUUAAUCCUCCUAAUCCUACUAGAGCACUACUAGAACUUCAAUAAGAGCAUCUUCUUACGGGCUUCAAUACCCAUAAGAACCACAUAAAGGAACACCAAAACUACCUACAGAACCCCUUGAACAACCUUAGUGACCAUAAGAACUAGGGAUGAAAUGGUUUAAUGAUAAACCAUGGUAAACGACACAUGUCUUAGUUUUUGUGAGGGGAAACUUGGUUGAAGAAAAUGGACUUAUAGUGAACGCAGGGUGAGUUAACUUUUAGCUUUGCUUUGUCUCUCAUGCUAACAGCGUGUAAACUCAAGCUCUCAGUGUUGAAACAGUGCUCUUUCUGCUGCUGUGUGCAUCGUUUAUGGAGACUCUACUCGUCCACUGCACAUGAGAACACGUUACGCAGUUUAGUCAACCAACCAGCAUCUUCUUAAUUUUAAAUCCAGCAGCUAUCAACUUUGUGAAAGUGUCCGAACAGGAGAAACGCUGCAGUUACUAUCACUGUCUGCUAAAGACUUCUUUGUUUUCAUGCAAUUAUGCAUGGGGUCGUUGCAUUACCUAUAUAAUAUAAAAUAUAAAAUCUUGAUAAUGAU